This 1471-nucleotide ribosomal RNA is filed under the name metagenome. RNAcentral describes it as "bacterial SSU rRNA". It matches the Rfam family "Bacterial small subunit ribosomal RNA". The record is from RNAcentral.
AGAGUUUGAUCAUGGCUCAGGACGAACGCUGGCGGCGUGCCUAAAACAUGCAAGUCGAACGGUCGUAGCAAUACGAUAGUGGCGAACGGCGGAGUAAUACAUAAGCAACGUGCCCCAAAGACCGGGAUAGUCAUUGGAAACGAUGGGUAAUACCGGAUGUGGCUCCCUGAGGACAUCCCCAGGGAAUUAAAUGGUUUUUCGCUUUGGGAGCGGCUUAUGGGCUAUCAGCUUGUUGGUGGGGUAAUGGCCUACCAAGGCGACGACGGCUAGGGGUUCUGAGAGGAUGAUCCCCCCGAGUGGGACUGAGACACGGCCCACACACCUACGGGUGGCAGCAGUUGGGAAUCUUGCACAAUGGGGGCAACCCUGAUGCAGCGACGCCGCGUGGAGGAUGAAGGAUCUAGGUCUGUAAACUCCUUUUGUUGGGAAAGACUUAGGACGGUACCCAACGAAUAAGGACCGGCUAACUACGUGCCAGCAGCCGCGGUAAGACGUAGGGUCCAAGCGUUGUCCGGAUUUACUGGGCGUAAAGAGCGCGUAGGCGGUCCGUUAAGUGUGAAGUGAAAUCUCCAGGGCUCAACCCGGAAAUUGCUUCGCAUACUGGCGGACUUGAGGGAUGCAGAGGUAAGUGGAAUUCCUGGUGUAGCGGUGACAUGCAUUGAUAUCAGGAGGAACACCGAUGGCGAAGGCAGCUUACUGGGCAUCAUCUGACGCUGAGGCGCGAAAGCGUGGGUAGCAAACAGAAUUAGAUACUCUGGUAGUCCACGCCCUAAACGAUGGAUACUAGGCGUAAGAGGUAUCGACCCCUCUUGUGCCGCCGCUAACGCAUUAAGUAUCCCGCCUGGGGACUACGGCCGCAAGGUUGAAACUCAAAUGAAUUGACGGGGACCCGCACAAGCGGUGGAGCAUGUGGAUUAAUUCGAUACUAACCGAAGAACCUUACCCAGGCUUGACAUCGAUGGAAAUCUAUCGAAAGAUAGCCCUCAUCCCAAAAGGAUGACCUGAAGACACUUGUUGCAUGGCUGUCGUCAGCUCGUGCCGUGAGGUGUUUGGUUAAGUCCAGCAACGAGCGCAACCCUCGUUCUAUGUUGCCAGCGGGUAAUGCCGGGAACUCAUAGGAGACUGCCGUCGUAAGUCGGAGGAAGGUGGGGAUGACGUCAAGUCAGCAUGGCAGUUACGCCUGGGGCUUCACACAUGCUACAAUGGACGAAACAAAGGGCAGCAAUACCGCGAGGUGGCACCAAUCCCAAAAAUACUCCUCAGUUCAGAUUGUAGUCUGCAACUCGACUACAUGAAGGCGGAAUCGCUAGUAAACGCAGGUCAGCUAUACUGCGUUGAAUACGUUCCCGGGUCUUGUACACACCGCCCGUCAAGUCACCCGAAUUGUCUGCACCCGAAGUCCGUGGCCUAACCGUAAGGAGGGAGCGGCCGAAGGUGCGGGGGGUAAGGGGGACUAAGUCGUAACAAGGUA